AACUAAGUUUGUUAUUGGUAUGAGCUUUCGUGUGCAUGCACACUUCUUCAGAUACACACUGAAGAAGUGUGCAUGCGCACGAAAGCUCAUACUAGAAGGAAUUUUGAAAU
Molecule: microRNA precursor, 110 nt
Filed under: Podarcis lilfordi (Lilford's wall lizard)
Lineage: Eukaryota; Metazoa; Chordata; Lepidosauria; Squamata; Lacertidae
Source: RNAcentral